Molecule: ribosomal RNA, 981 nt
Filed under: uncultured archaeon
Lineage: Archaea
Description: bacterial SSU rRNA
Rfam family: Archaeal small subunit ribosomal RNA
Source: RNAcentral
GGUGGUGCAGGAACAAGGACUGGGCAAGACCGGUGCCAGCCGCCGCGGUAAUACCGGCAGUCCAAGUGAUGGCCGAUAUUAUUGGGCCUAAAGCGUCCGUAGCUGCUGUGUAAGUCCAUUGGGAAAUCGACCAGCUCAACUGGUCGCCGUCCGGUGGAAACUGCACAGCUUGGGGCCGAGAGACUCGACGGGUACGUCCGGGGUAGGAGUGAAAUCCUGUAAUCCUGAACGGACCACCAAUGGCGAAAGCACGUCGAGAGACCGGACCCGACGGUGAGGGACGAAAGCCAGGGUCUCGAACCGGAUUAGAUACCCGGGUAGUCCUGGCUGUAAACAAUGCUCGCUAGGUAUGUCACGCGCCAUGAGCACGCGAUGUGCCGUAGUGAAGACGAUAAGCGAGCCGCCUGGGAAGUACGUCCGCAAGGAUGAAACUUAAAGGAAUUGGCGGGGGAGCACCACAACCGGAGGAGCCUGCGGUUUAAUUGGACUCAACGCCGGACAUCUCACCGGUCCCGACAGUAGUAAUGACGGUCAGGUUGACGACUUUACCCGACGCUACUGAGAGGAGGUGCAUGGCCGCCGUCAGCUCGUACCGUGAGGCGUCCUGUUAAGUCAGGCAACGAGCGAGACCCGCAUCCGUAGUUGCCAGCAAUACCCACGUGGUAGUUGGGUACACUACGGAGACUGCCGCUGCUAAAGCGGAGGAAGGAACGGGCAACGGUAGGUCAGUAUGCCCCGAAUGGACCGGGCAACACGCGGGCUACAAUGGCUCUGACAAAGGGAUGCGACGCCGAGAGGCGAAGCUAAUCUCGAAACGGAGUCGUAGUUCGGAUUGCGGGCUGAAACUCGCCCGCAUGAAGCUGGAUUCGGUAGUAAUCGCGUGUCAGAAGCGCGCGGUGAAUUCGUCCCUGCUCCUUGCACACACCGCCCGUCAAAGCACCCGAGUGAGGUCCGGAUGAGGCCAGCAUGCGCUGGUCGAAU